AAUAAACCAGAUCACCGCCAUCAUCUGUGAUCGAGCGCCCGAUCGCCCUCUGGUUAAAAUCGCGACUUGGACGAAAUCGAAUGGAUUAGGGAUUCAGAGUUUUCUCCUCUAAAGAAACAUGGCACAAGUUGGAACUUCACCAAUUAUACAGGAGGAACCCUCCAGCGCUGAAAAUCUUCUGGCAGUAAAAUUCCUUAUGUCAGCACUGGAGUCUAUGUGCCAGGAAAUUGCAAAGUCAAAAGCUGAAGUGGCUUGUAUUGCUGUAUAUGAGAAAGAUAUAUUUGUCGUGGGGACCGAGCGAGGAAGAUCUUUCAUUGGAAGCCGAAAGGAUUUUCAAACUGAUUUUGUCAAAUACUGUGUGGCUGAGGAGCAAAAAGCAGCAGAAAAGCUCAGAAAUGAAGAUGUUCUUUGUGUGACACCAGUUGCAGUGGAUAAUCAGGCUGACAUGAGAACAAAAAGAAAAUCAGUUGAGGAGCUGUUCUCUUCACUCUAUGGUAAAGCUCUUGGAAAACCUACUCCAAAUCCUGUGCCAUAUGAUAAGAUCUUGAAGGACCCGGCUGCUGUCGCAAUACAAGGACUUCCUGAUGGCGUGUGUUUUAAGCACCCUUCAGGUUAUGACAGUAUGGCAUUAAAAAAGAUUUUGGAGCAAAAAUCACAGAUUGCAUUUGUAAUAAAGAGGCCAUUUCAGGAUACUGCCAUUCAUCAUGUGGAAAAGAAACAGCCAACUGGAAAAGAAAACUCUCAGAUGCCACCUGCCAGCUUUGUUCCAGUUCAGGUGAAAACAGAGCCAUCUGAUGACAGCCAACCUAGCACAUCUGUUGAACCAGUUGCAAUCAAAGCAGAGCCAGAAGAUCCAGAUUAUUAUCGAUACAGUGUUCAAGGGCCUAGUGCAACUACUUCAGAAGCCAGUGAUACAGAGGCAGCUCCCCAAUCAAAGUCUUAUCAAGAAAGUGGGCCCCAGAAAGAUGCUGAUGUAUCAAGUGAUGAGACUGAGGAGGAAUUUACAGCUGAUGAUUCGACUCAGCAGGAAUAUUCUGAAACUAGUGAAGACCCAGAAGUUGAAGUUACUAUUGAAGAUGAUGAAUAUUUUCCACCAAAUAAACGGCCAAGGAAUACUGUACAGCCAACAGAUGCUGGGACCAUGGUGAAACGGAAAAGUAGGGAGUUUAAUUUUGAAUCACCCCUAAACAUGAGUCAGAAACGCCCAGCAAGUGAUGGUAGUGAGUCUGCUGCUGCUAAGAAAACAAGGAAAACUAUCACCCUAGCAAUGAAAUUGGAGGUUUUAAAACGGCUUGAGGCUGGAGAACGAGCAGUCGAUAUUGGUAGAGAACUUGGACUACCCCCUACGACAGUCAGAACAAUCCGUGGCAAUGCUGACAAAAUCAAACAAAGUGCCCAAAGUGUUACACCUUUAAGUGCUGGCAGGGUAAGUCGAACAAGAAGCAGCAUCAUGGAGAACAUGGAAAGACUCCUGGCAGUAUGGAUUGAAGACCAAAACCAGCGCCAGGUGCCCCUUAGUUUGAUGGUCAUCCAAGCAAAAGCUAAAAGCCUUUAUGAUGAUCUACAGAAUGAGCAGGGUGAGAAUUCUCAGUCAGAAAGUUUCAAUGCUAGUCGUGGAUGGUUCGAACGUUUCAAGAAACGUUCCUAUCUGCAUAGUAUUAAAGUGACUGGUGAAGUGGUUGGUGCAAAUGCAGAAGCAGCCAGUGAAUUUUCCAUCUAUUUGAAGAAAAUCAUUGAAGAAGGUGGCUAUUCACCAAAACAAGUCUUCAAUGUUGAUGAAACCGGGCUUUAUUGGAAACGUAUGCCACAGAGCACGUACAUCUCCAGAGAGGAGAAAACGGCACCAGGAUUUAAAGCUGCCAAAGAUCGCCUGACUGUUCUGCUUGGCGGUAAUGCUUCAGGAGAUUUCAAGUUUAAACCCUUAGUGGUGUACCAGUCUGAGACACCGAGGGCUUUGAGGGGUCAUUCCAAAGAACAUCCUGUCAUUUGGCGUUCAAACAAGAAAGCCUGGAUGACAGGGGCACUCUUUCAAGAAUGGUUCUCCCUCUAUGCCAUUCCAGCCUGGAGGGAAUAUUGCGCCAGAGAAAACCUUGCAUUUAAAAUACUGCUCCUCUUGGAUAAUUGCCCAGGUCAUCCUAUCAAUCUUGAUGACUUGUCUGAAAAUGUGAAGGUGAUUUUCCUACCUCCCAAUACGGCUCCAUUGCUACAGCCUAUGCUUCAGGGAGCAGUAGCAACAUUCAAAGCCUACUACUUACGCCGUACUUUCUCCCAGCUCAUCUAUGAAAUAGAUGGUGAGAAUGCACCAUCUGUCAGGGAAUUUUGGCGUGGGUACAACAUCCUUGAAGGCAUCAACAAUAUUGCUGAUUCAUGGGAUGAAGUCACGUCAUCGUGUCUGAACAGUGUAUGGCAAAAGGUAUGGCCAGAGUGUGUCAGCGAUCAAGGAGGAUCUCAUGAUACUGUCCCUGAAAUUCAGCGUGAAAUCAUUGCUUUGGCAAGGGCUGUUGGUUUUGAUGAAGUGGAUGAAGCUGACGUGGUGGAAUUGCUCGAGUCACAUGGAGAGGAAUUGUCCAAUGAAGACUUGAUGCAGCUAGAGAGUCAACGAGCUGAAGAGGAAGACCACAUUGAAACACCACUCCCUCAAAUUUUGUCAACGAAACGAUUGUCUAGAGCUUUCCAAAUCAUGGAAGAGGCAAUGGACAUUUUCACAGAGGAUGACCCAAACAGAGAGCGCAGUGCCAAAGUGAACAGGGCGAUCAAUGAUGGCAUUAACUGCUACAAAGAGAUCUAUCGUCAGAAGAAAAAGAAAACCGUCCAGCACUCCUUGAAUAAAUUUUUCAAAGCUGCUGAAAAUCCUGGCUCUUCAUCUCAUUAACUCAAUCAAGACCUGGCUGUUCAACCUGUCAUCUUAAAUUUAAAACCAAGGUCACUCCAACUUCAGUCAUUGAGUUUCUGUGUGCAGAAAACCCUCAUGUCUGUGCACACAGCACAUGAGAAAAAACUUCCAUGACGAAUACCUAGAAAACAUUCCUCCAUCCAACUCGUGUAGUACAGCACCACCUACUUUUUGAUUUUGAGAUCAUCCUUCAUAAAUUUGAAGCUCCCCCUUGAAGAAGGCAGGCAUUGCCAGUGGUGAUGUACUUUAUUGUCUAUGUGCCAACUCAGUCUUUGGCUGACUGAGGAUAAGAGCAUUUGAGGACUAGGAUCUCAAAUCUGAGACUAAGGUUAUGAUUCGCUGAGUAGUAGUGAUAUUGGCAUCUCUGUUUAUGAUACUAGGACAACCUGCAGCAGUUCUGCCUUUUGAAAGAUGCACCAAAUCCAGUGGCAAGAAAGUUGGUUCAACAGCCAGGUCUUCUACAAAGCCAACAUGCCCAGCCUUGAGGCAUUAAUUACUCAAACCGCUUCCAGUGAUGCACUUUAGGGAUGCCUUGAAAGCAUCUUUGAUCAGUCAAUGUUGGAUCUGAACAAUGUGGGGAAGGUUCGUACAAGAAGGUACUGAGCGCCGAGAGACGACUUAGGGAACGUGUAGUGUCAAAAUUAAAAUUGCAGAGUGAGUGCACAAACUUCCCAACAGCUUGUUAACUGACCCUCCAAGCAACACCUCCACAUAUAGCAGCAUCUGCCACUUGUGUGUGCAUUGGACUUUUCAGCCAUCUCAGAAUCCAUCAAACCAAAGUCAUCCCUGAACCUGAGACUGCCUAAGAGGAGACUGAGCAAUGGAAUGCCAGAAUUACUGAGUUGAGAAAACAAGUUGAAGAUCUUUUUGAAAGCAAAUAUGCUCAAGCCACUCUCGCUACUGGACCAGUUGUGAUCCCAUAUCCACUCUUUC
This is an RNA transcript of Rhincodon typus (whale shark), 3826 nucleotides long. It is a transcript of the gene named general transcription factor II-I-like, with no coding region annotated. The transcript is spliced from 16 exons. The record is from RefSeq and is a predicted model, not a curated record. NCBI's taxonomy places the organism in Eukaryota, Metazoa, Chordata, Chondrichthyes, Orectolobiformes, Rhincodontidae.